Molecule: ribosomal RNA, 373 nt
Filed under: Parabacteroides distasonis
Lineage: Bacteria; Pseudomonadati; Bacteroidota; Bacteroidia; Bacteroidales; Tannerellaceae
Description: partial 23S ribosomal RNA
Rfam family: Bacterial large subunit ribosomal RNA
Source: RNAcentral
GUUGUAUGGUUAAGUGACUAAGCGUACACGGUGGAUGCCUUGGCAGUCAGAGGCGAUGAAAGACGUAAUAACUUGCGAUAAGCCCAGAUUAGGUAGUAAUAACCUUUUGAGUCUGGGAUUCCUGAAUGGGGAAACCCACGUGCACAAGCACGUAUCCUGUUGUGAAUACAUAGCAACAGGAGGCAAACCGGGGGAACUGAAACAUCUAAGUACCCCGAGGAAGAGAAAUCAACCGAGAUUCCGAAAGUAGCGGCGAGCGAAAUUGGAUUAGCCCUUAAGCUUUUAAUGAUGCAGGUGAAGCCUCUGGAAAGUGGCGCAGUAAAGGGUGAUAGCCCCGUAACCGACAUGUCAUUUUAAGUGAAAACGAGUAAGG